Mercenaria mercenaria is the source of this 804-nucleotide long non-coding RNA. RefSeq lists it as uncharacterized. The transcript has 2 exons. The record is from RefSeq and is a predicted model, not a curated record. Lineage: Eukaryota; Metazoa; Mollusca; Bivalvia; Venerida; Veneridae.
AAUAAACUUAGAAUGCAACCUACAAGAAGCAAAUGUUCAGCUAAAGCUCCUGCGAUUUAAGCUACAGUUGACAGAAGACACAAAAUAAGACUACAGAUGUGGACAACUGGUCAUCGAAAUUUUCCACAUGGCAUGAGGUUAAAAUACACCAACAAAAUAUAAAUUGUGAAACAGUGAGUAUUGUAAAAACUGCCAAAGAUCGGAAAUUAUAAAUGGAUUAUCAAGUAAGUAUUAUGAAAACUGAAAAAGAUUAGCUGACUACUGAAGGUAAAAAGGAACAUAAAAUAAACUAUUAGUAACGGCAAAUAUUUUCUCGGUGGCGCACAAAGACAAACUCAACAAGAUGUGUGAUCUUUUUAAUUCAUGUCUUAACUUCUAUACUCGUACUAAUUUCUACUAACGGAAGGACCGUCAAAAGUGUCAGUUAUAGGCGUAAAAAAUAAUACAGCAACAAAGCAAAACAAGAGAACGAUGGAGAAAUGACCACGAGUUACUGGAAACAAUGUUUUAAGAGAAGACAACAGACAGCAGAGUGACUUCAAGGAAACUUGAGUUAAAAUCGAAACACUAAUACAGAUAAAAAGUACUCAGUCUAAUAAAAAUAACAAGUACACAAUUACUUUACAAUAUUUAUUUAGAAAAAAACAUUUGAAUACAAACAUACGAAUGAAAUAUAUGAUCUACAUACACCGUGCCCUAAUGGUACUAUUCUAUAUAUUACAUAUCAUCUUGCAUAAAAUACAAACAUGUACAUUUAUUUUUGUGUAUCAAAAGUAAUGAUAAUAAGAAAACACGUAACCAUAA